This is a long non-coding RNA of Oreochromis aureus, 6639 nucleotides long. RefSeq lists it as uncharacterized. The transcript has 3 exons. The record is from RefSeq and is a predicted model, not a curated record. Lineage: Eukaryota; Metazoa; Chordata; Actinopteri; Cichliformes; Cichlidae.
CAUACUUAUCCCCGGCUGGCCAAUGGGCGCCUCGAACACAGGCUCACAUGACGCCUUUCUGUGCGCUCCCUGUCCUCUCAGCGCUCAAUCCCGGCGAGUGCAGGCAUCACUGAAGACCUGACACCGGCGGAAUCGGACGUUCGCCGUCCUCGGCGGGACUCACCAGGUGUUGUGUUAUGCAAACUUCACUGCCAUCCGAUGACGCUGUCACAUCCCUUCGACGAGAAUGACCCCUGGCUUUGUCGGAGGAGCACACUUGGCCGUCUCCAAAACGCAGAGUCGCAGGGGCGAGACAAUAACGCCCAGAAGUUAUAGAAAUGAAUUGUCGUGAAAAGAGCUGGAACGAGAAGAGGAGUGCUCACAGCGUUAGCCAUCGCUGCAGAGUGAAGGAGCGGGUAGAGGAGCAAAAAAGACAAGUGAAAGAGGUCCAGACUUGAAGGAGGCACGCAAGCACAGAGAGACACACAUAAUGGCACCUAGAGGCUGUCUGCGGUCUACCACCACCCUACCACACACACACACACACACACAGACACACAGACACACACACACACACACACACACACAUACAUGCAUGCCAGUUACGGUAAAAAUCAGAACACUGAAGGAGGAUCAUUAUGGCCUCCUUCAGGAAAAAAACAAUGUUUUCUAGUUUUCUUCUCCAAGGAGAGAAACAUUGACAAGUUAUAUUCGAGAAAGCUACAAAAUUCAGUCAUUUAAAGAGCUUUGCAGUUUCCAGUACCAGCACUGUUAAAAGCUGUUUUUUGGUUUGAUUUAAUGCGAGAUGUAAAAAAACAAAACAAAAAAACUUAAAUGUCAAAUUUAAAUUCUCACUUUUUUUAUUUCUAAUUUAAUUUUCCAAGUCUUUGCUCAUGUCAUAUAUCUCAUAUCAUUUGCGAUUUGUCCACGUGUGCACGUGUACUUAUGGCUGCUUCGUUUUUCAAUUUCUAUUUUCAUCAGUCAAAACCCAUCCACACAAGUCAAAUUUAACAGCUGCACCACAUAUCCCACAAGCCCCCUAACCCACCCUGUGUCCCUCCCAGGGUUCCCAGCAUCCUGCUUUGCACACCCUACCAAAAACCCAGGCAUGCUGAAAUUACAGUGUGUGGAGGAGGAUUGUGGGAAAGCGUUCCCUCCCUCUAACUCUGUAUUUGCCCUCCUUAUCAUUUUUUGGUUUUUUCCUCCUUCAUUCUGCUACCGUUUCGGACGGGUUCGGUUUAGUUUGAUGUUCAGUUAAGUGUCAGACCGAACGUUAAGUUACAAUUUGCAUCAGCAAUAAGGGUGACUAAAGUUCAGCGUGAGAUUAACGAGGCACGAAUGCGGCGCUAAAUAAGAUUGACCUCGUCGUAUUGAUUAGUCUAUUUGUUGCUCUUUAAUAAUUACGGCUAGGGUGAUAGUCUGUCCUGUUCUGAUACCGUCAGGGAAACGGCGUGUUUGUGCCUUUUAUGAGCUUGCACGCACACAGCUCAUUAGCAUACAGAGAUUAAUUAAUUUGGUUUGAUGUUCUGUUCAGUAUGUCUUCAAAAUGUCACUCUGAGGUAUGUGUGUGUGUUUAUACUACAAACACACUCAAAUGUAAUAGGAUUUGUGUGUUGAAUUCAAUUUGAGAGGUUAAUAGAAGUAACCAAGAACAGUGUUGGACACGCGAUCUGCUGACAGCUUGCAAAUAACUGUGAUUUGCCAGAUAAGACCAAGUAGUGUCAGCUACAGAGGCUUGAACUCGUAUUCAACAGAAAAUCAUUGGAUUAUGCAAAGUGCAGUGCUGCUUGAAUCAGUUGUGGCAUCGUGCUCGCGGUUUGUAGCUUCAGGUUAACUGAAAGCGCCGCCCUCGCACUGACCGUGUUCCUAACCAGCUCUAAUGAUACACCCCAUCAGUUCAGCUUCGCCUGCACCGGGGUUAGCUUGGUUAACAGUCGGCUGAGGUGAAGCGUGUGUGUGUGUGUGUGUGUGCCAGCUAUUAAAGCACUUCAGAAUCAGAGUGGAAAGGACUCGCACUGCUAAUGGAUGUGUCUAUUGAUGUUCCCAUUUAGCGGCACACUGUAAACGAUAGGCCAAUGAUUGUGUUGAAGACGGAAGGAGGUGGAGGAGGAUUGAGAGCUGUUUGGCUGGGCGAUGAUAAUGACAAAGAAGGUUAUUAUUUGGCGCCCCAUGGAGUCUCUCUGGGCUUUGUGUGUGACGGGGAGUAGCGAGAGAGGGUGAAGAGGUGCACUCGUUCUCCGUGUCUCUCUCUCUCUCUCCCUGCCUACUAGCUAUUAUUCAUUUCUCACUUUUUUCCCCCCUAGUCCACUCCACUCAUGACAUUACUUACUGCAGCCAGUCUACAUCCAAUUGUGGCUGUCUCUUUUUAGCAUCCUCUUCUAUUUCUCUUUUCUUCGUUGCUUCCUUUUUUUUUAACUAGAUAGCACAGAUAGCUGUUGUGACAGUAAAUAUAAAAUAGCAGUAAAAUAAGUCAAAGACAGAAUAAUGCAGCAGUGGCAGCAAAAUAGUUUUUCCUUUUAAAUUUUUUAGGAUAACAGGUUGCAGUUAAAAUAUUGAUUUUUUUUUCACUUUUCCACACAGCUGUGUGUGUGUGUGUGUGUGCUGUCAGUUCCAAUCACUGUGUGUGUGAUGAAUAUGAAAACAGUCAGGCUGCCUGCAGGUUUGGCAGGAGACCACCUCCAGCUGGACUCAGACCCCUACUCAAGUGUGUCUGUGUGUGUUUUGUGAACGUGGUUGUACAAGUCAGCUUGUAUCUGUCAGUGCUGUGACAACCUCAAGAGGACAUAACAAAAAAACCCCAAAAAACAGUUAUAUAUAUAAUACACUGCCUGGAACACAACGAAUCAAAAUCACACUAACAAAUUCAACAAGUUUAAGCAGCUUUAAUAAUUGAAUUUGACGCUUUUCUUAUUUAUAAUGUAAAACUAUGCUAUAUAAGCUAGAAUGUAUUAAGACUGCAUUUAAUAGGUAAGGUAAUGCUACUUUUGAUAAUUUCCUGUGUUUCAUCAUCCAUCCUUACUUCCUUUUUAGAUUUAAGCAACCCAAUUCUUUCCAUUGUAGCUCAUCAGUCCUUGCUAGUGUUUUGUGAGUAUUUGUGUCUCGCUUUUUUUCACACUGCUGAUUCUCAGGCCUAAAAUACUUUGUCUGUCCCAAAAGUUGGGGAAAUUGCUGUGUUGCAGCAGUCAAAACAUGGGGAAAAAACCCAUCUUAUAAUAAUAAUAAUCACAGGAUGAGAUUACUUGGAAAGGUUGGGGGAAAAAAAACACUAAAAAGAAGCGCCAUUAACUAGCAAUUAGCCUCAAUAGACUCAAUAGAUUUAUUUAGUAUUUAAAGUUGCAUUGUGGAGCUUAAACAUAAUAAUGCUGAUGCUGUGGUACGAGCUGGUAAAGAGUCUCUUAUCUGUUUUUUCGUCAGCGGAGCUGAAACACAUGUUAGGGAUAGGCGUCAGCUGCAUGCCUGGUUAGUGGACACAAAUAUCUCGUCAGUGUAGUAAAAAUCCAUCUAUCAUUCUGCAUGUGCGCGUCUGUAAUCGCAGGGCGGCAGAUAAAGAGGGAGAUGCCAUUCCAGCUGUGAGGGGACAGCGGAAGUCAACACACACACACACUCAAUCACACAGAGCCGGAGGCGCGUGAGCAGGUGAGCAUUAAGUCAGGCAGCUAAACAGAUCACGUCGCGGUAUGAUAUCUGCAGACAGGCAGACAGAGGAGGCCGGUCUGUACCUGCAGGCAGAGAGCAACAACUCGCAGCACCCUCGCCAGGAAUUUCCUCCCCCUCCUGAGAGAGAGAGAGAGAGAGAGAGAGACAUGAAAGUGAAGGUGAGAGACGGGCAUUAACUGGGGUUUCCAAUUUUUUUUUAAUGCAUAUCCAGUUUCUUUGAGCUAUUUAACCCUAAACCUGACUCCAUUUUUUUUUCUUAUGAUAUUUUAAUCAUUUACUGCAUGUUGGUCAGCUCCAGAAUUCUAGUACAAGUAAUUUCACCCAUUAAGGCCUUUAAAAAUGUUACCAUUAACAUUUUUGUGUGAGUAGUGUACUAAGAAAAGUGGAUAAUAAAAGAUAUAUUCCUUUUGUUAACUCACAACCGAUAAGACCCACACAAUCUGAAUUUAAAUGGUUUUUCUUAGUUUACUUAGUUUCACGUCUCACCAAGAAAAAUCUGUGUUCCUCUGCCAAAAUAAGCAUCAGUAGUAACCUUCUACGCUAGUGAGACAAAGAUCGAACGAGAAGAGUACAAAUCUUACGUAGAGAAAACGAAUCCUAAACCUAAUGGUUGGUGACAUUUCAGCCCAACACUUAUCUUUAACACCAUCUGAUGAAACUGUAUCGUCAGACAUUACAAAACUCGAUACUGUGCGAUUGGGUACAGUCAGUUCUUUUGUUGUUUUUCGAGUAAUUUAAUCACCUCUUGCAGAUGCCUUUCUGGAAUUACAGGUAUGUUUUUUUUUCACAGUACUAACUGUGAAACACUGACAGUAUCCAUUACACCAACUUGUUCUGCAAGUUUCUGUAUUGCUGGCACUCCUUUAAAGCAGUUUUGUAACAGUACUUCAUUUUAAGUCUGCUCAACAUAUGUGGUGGUAAUCUGCGGCAUCCUGUAUCACAUUCAUACUGUGGUCUCUUGCUCUGGACCACCAAACAGCGUCACCGAACCAACUGUGGGAUACGCCGUUGCUCAAGAGAACGUCAGCAUUAGUCAUUAACUAGAUAACCCCUUGAGUCACUUCUCCAGCUUUUGCACAAAUAUUAUUUUCCCCUUUAAUUUCCUCUCCUUAUUCUUAAUGUUUGCGCGGCCCCUUUUCAAAAGCUCUUUAUAGCUCAUAGUUAACCUAAAAAGAGAAAAAAACCUCCUGAAAUUUUCACAAGUCUCAAAUCUGCCUCCACCGCAUCCACUUAUCUAAAAAUGUUUCAGUGGUUAAAUGUCAGAGCUGUCUGUGCCAUUAAGGCCAGCAUGUUUGAAGGAAGGACACCCAUGCCAGCCCUCUCCCUCCUCCCUUUUCUGUCUCUUCUUAUUCCUCUCCCCACUUAGCUUCCUCAUAAUGCUCCAGCACCCCCCCCCCCUUCCAACCCAUGCUGGUUUGAGGGCUGAUGUGCAGACCUUGUCAUUCAGAUUAGGGCCACAUUGUCAGCUCAGGGCCCUUCUCUCUCUUUAGUUGCAUGUCCCAGAUCUUUCUUCCUACUGUCAUCUUCAUCCUGCGGCCAGAGAAGACCUUAUAAAGCUACAUUCCUUCUCAUCCACUUCUGUCAAUUCCAGCGCUGUCACUCAAAUCACUGUUGUGGAGAGUGAAAAGAGACCGAGUUAACGUGUCCCUCGCAGCAAGGACUGUGCUUUUUGGUCCAAGAUCAGCUGUCAUCAGCUAACAAAUUAGUUUUAUUAUUACUAUCAUUAUUAUUAUUAUUAUUUUUGCUCUGGACCUAAAAGCUAAAUUAACACACGCGAUCUAAAAUUCUUCACAAAUGAAUACUGCUUAUUGUUUUCUUGCCUAACAGUAAAGACAGAGCCAUCUUGCUAUUUUUAACUCUCUGUUUUCUGUGUAAAAGGAGUAUCUGGCAGGAGAUGAGAUAUCCACCACAUCAGCUUAGUCACUCCUUAUCCUGCCCUGGAAAAGCGUCCCAACAACGUAUUUAUCAUCCGACCACAUCUUGACUCACUGCCACAGUUGCCGUCACAUCGUAUCUAAUUGCUCCAGCAGCUCCGUGGCAUUUGAUUUUUGUGCUUCUCACAAACCCUGCAAACUUGUUUUUUGUUUUGCUUUUUUCUCUCUCUCUCUCAAGUUGAUUCAGCACUGUGUAAUAAAGCCAUUGAUGCAAAAUGGUGGAUAGUUUCUUUACUGUUUUUAGUGUAAGAAGAGGAGGAAAGAAAAAAACACCCCAGUCUUCGGCCACAGCGCCACAUCAUAGCGAAAUGGCAGCCGCUAUCAAUCAGGGUGAGUCGGCAGUUUCACACCCGGUGUCUUCCUCAUCCUGCAGCUUGCAUGAAGCCAUUCAGGCAUGCCGGGGCCUCUCUAGACACCACGCCACUGUGCUUUCAGUACACUGUAUGCCAAUUGGCUGCAGCCUCCACCCAGGUGAUACGUUUACUAAAACCCACUAUGAGUCAGGAGUUUCAAGAUGACUUCCCUCUUCUAACUGUUAUUUACCAAGGAAAUGUUUUCUUACACACUGACGAGUUCUUUGGUGUAAUAAUGACCAUGUGGCAUGGAAGUCAAUGGUAAAUGCAGCUCUCCAGGCUUGAUGGAAAUGUUCUUCUACUAAGAAAUCCAAAUAAAUGGAUUUAGUGAAAAAUUAUUGUUGCUUAAAAAAGUUCAGCAUAUAUUUUAAAAUCUUCUUUUAUACCUCUCUAGAGGUAGUGGAUGUAAAAAAGGAAAACAAGCUCCAAAUGAUGUGAAAGAUGGCAGCAUUGUGAUUAACCGAACUGUUAAAAAUAAUGUGUUCUUAUAAUUUAUCACUAUUUAUUGCCAGUUUGUAUUAACUGGAAGUUUGACUUGGAUAUUAUUAGUCAUCUGAUUAGCCUAACUGGAAAAGAUGGUAUAAUUCAGGUUUGUUAAAACAGUCAUGACCUUGUCAGUGUUACUAAGAAAGGGAGGUUUGGUGAGAGAAGAAAGAAGCUCUUCCCUCACAAAGAAGAUAUGCUCCCGCCAAGCAGACUGUCAUUCCCAGUCACCA